UGUCCUGGAACUCACUCUGUAGACCAGGCUGGCCUCGAACUCAGAAAUCCACCUGCCUCUGCCUCAGAGAAAUGUUUUAUAGCAUCAUUAUUUACAGCAAGCUAAGUGCUUAUAAAUCCAUAAAUCUCUACAGAAGGUGUGCUGUGGCCAUCCAAUGGAAUACUGUUUCUGUGUUUUUGUUUUUGUUUUUUCUUUUUGAAAGGAAGUUCUGACAAUUGCUCUAGCACAGAUGAACUUUGAGGGCAUUAAGCCCACUGAAAUAAGCCAGUGACAAAAAGACAAAUGUUGUGAUCACACUUAAAUAAGGUAAGUAGACUGUCGGUCAAGCAGGUAGGGGCAGAAAGCAGAACGCUAGCCGCUAGGGGAUGUGGGGAGGGCAGAAUGGGCAUUUGUUGUUUAAUGGAUGUAAAGGUUCAGUUUUGCAAAAGGAAAAGGUGAGGCUGAGGACAUUGCUCUCUAGCAGAACGCUCACCUAGCAUUUCUGAGACCUGAGUUCAAUGUCCAACAGCUCAUGCACACACACAUGCACAGGAGAAAGAAGGGAAAGAAGCUACCCUUUUACUUAAAAAAUGUAUUUAUUUUUAUUUUAUGUGUGUGUGCCUGAGCUGCAAGUGCCCACUGAGUGCAGAAGAAAGUGUUGGAUCUCCUGAAACUGGAGUUACACGUGCUUGUGAGCCACCUGAUGUGCUGAGAGCGGUCCUUAGGCCUCUGCAAUAGCAGCAAGUCCUAUGUAAUGCCUCAUAAUGACUUUUGUUUAGACAACAAAUUAUUUUUUUAAGAUAUUUACACAAAUAAAAGAUAUUUUGAAAAUUCUUAUAGGGCUCGGGUAUGGCUACAUAAAGCCAUGGGUUCCAUCAUCAGUGCAAGAAGAAAUAAAUGAACUUAUAUUUAUCAAAUGUAUUAAGCAUUUCUGGCUUCAUUCAUUUGUAUAGAUUCAGCCUGCCAUCUGCUAUAAAUUUUCUUCUACCUGAAGGAAACAUGAACAUUUCUUGAACUGUAAAUGGUCUUCACCACUCUCCAGCCCUUCUUUUUCAUUUUUUUUGAGAUCAGACUCUCAUAUAUCUCAGGCUGACCUUGAAGUUGCUAGCUAGCAACUAUGGAUACCUUUGAAUUUCUGGUCUUCUUUGCUCUGCUGCCAGAGUGCUGAGGUUACAGGCUUGUAUCACCGGGUCUAUGUGGUGCUUUGUAUAUAGCCAAGGCUCUGUGCAUGCUAGGUAAGCACUCGAUCAACUCAGCUGUGCAUCUAUACCUAACACCCAUUUGUUUUUGUGUUUAAAUUUUGGUAGUUUAUAUGGCUGUAUCUUCAAGCCCACUAUUUUUUCUCUUUCCCAAGAGGAUGAAUGUUACCUAAAAAC
This 1355-nucleotide long non-coding RNA is filed under the name Mus musculus (house mouse). Its description in RNAcentral is "long non-coding RNA chrX:13044397-13045752". The record is from RNAcentral. Lineage: Eukaryota; Metazoa; Chordata; Mammalia; Rodentia; Muridae.